This is a non-coding RNA of Glycine soja, 106 nucleotides long. The record is from Rfam. NCBI's taxonomy places the organism in Eukaryota, Viridiplantae, Streptophyta, Magnoliopsida, Fabales, Fabaceae.
CUAACAGAGUUUAUUGGCAUUCUGUCCACCUCCACUUCCUACUCUCUCUCUGAGCCACAUGUUCGUGAAGUUGGAGGUGGGCAUACUGUCAACUGAGUUCUGUUGU